Molecule: microRNA precursor, 103 nt
Filed under: Marmota monax (woodchuck)
Lineage: Eukaryota; Metazoa; Chordata; Mammalia; Rodentia; Sciuridae
Source: RNAcentral
AGUAAAGUUGCUGGAUCAUAGAGUAAGUCUAUGUUUAAAUUUUGGACAAAAUGUCAUAUUGUUUUCUAAAGUAGCUGCACCAUUUUACAAUUCCAUCUGCAAU